GACGAACGCUGGCGGCGUGCCUAAUACAUGCAAGUAGAACGCUGAAGGAGGAGCUUGCUUCUCCGGAUGAGUUGCGAACGGGUGAGUAACGCGUAGGUAACCUGCCUGGUAGCGGGGGAUAACUAUUGGAAACGAUAGCUAAUACCGCAUAAGAGUAGAUGUCGCAUGACAUUUGCUUAAAAGGUGCAACUGCACCACUACCAGAUGGACCUGCGUUGUAUUAGCUAGUUGGUGAGGUAACGGCUCACCAAGGCAACGAUACAUAGCCGACCUGAGAGGGUGAGCGGCCACACUGGGACUGAGACACGGCCCAGACUCCUACGGGAGGCAGCAGUAGGGAAUCUUCGGCAAUGGACGGAAGUCUGACCGAGAAACGCCGCGUGAGUGAAGAAGGGUUUCGGAUCGUAAAGCUCUGUUGUAAGAGAAGAACGAGUGUGAGAGUGGAAAGUUCACACUGUGACGGUAUCUUACCAGAAAGGGACGGCUAACUACGUG
This 495-nucleotide ribosomal RNA is filed under the name uncultured bacterium. RNAcentral describes it as "partial 16S ribosomal RNA". It matches the Rfam family "Bacterial small subunit ribosomal RNA", at positions 28 to 507 of the family's 1533-position model. The record is from RNAcentral.